GUUCUUCCUCUGGAGCGUAUGACUUUGGAUACUGAACAUAGUCUUCAGUAUUAGCCAGACCAGUUUCUUCAGGACUGAGGUUCAGAAUGGCCCUGGUUCUUGUGGAGUUUACCGUUCAGUCCAAACGGGAGCCCGCAGAGGAAGGUGGCACAGACUCAGCAUAAAGCUCCGGUCAAAGGAAGAACCAGAACAAGACCCCAGAUGACUUACAGCAAGGCCACGUUUGGUUCUUCCAAAUACCGUUAAGAAGUAAGCCAUGGUACUAGUUUGUUAGGCAUCUGGAGCCUUGAAUGCAUUAACACAUUUAAUUCUUUUCGCAUCCUUAAUGAGAUACUAUUUUGCCCAUCUUACAAGUGAAGAAACUUAGGUUCGGAGAGGUUAAGAAACUUGCCUUGAAAACAAAAAUCCCUGCCUUUAACCAUACUUUUUAACAGAGGACCCAAGACUUGAAAAUUUGUUUUAGAUUAUCCCCAACAUCAGUACUUCCCAGUCAAUUACUCCUUGGUAGCAAAAGUCGCAAAAAAUUCAAGUGCCCUCCAAAGAUAAUUUUACGGUGGUCCCCAGCUCUAAUGGACAUCGCACAGUGACGUGUCAGCGUGUCCCAUUGCUUUAUUGAAUAGGGACUCGGCUUUUCCUAAGGCAGCAGAACCUGGAACACAGCUGCCUCGAUCUUGAAAUGAGAGAUACCUGGGUCAAAAGCCCCGUUUAAGAGACGUGGAAGUCAUCAUUUUUCAAACCAACAUCACGUUAGAUUUUGAUUCAUCUCAUGUUCAAAAGCGCAUCGGGUGCAAGAAUGUCAUUUCCUUGUAAUAACCAUCGAUUUGUGUAGCACGUAAACUUUUAUCAAAGGCUUACUGGCUUUGCGGCACCUUGGUGGUGUGGAUAUUGGAGUCCCAUUGGCCAGAUGAGACUUACUUCUUUUAGGAAACUGUCCAAUUGCCAAAAGUUCUCCUGGCAGUGCGAUGACCCAACCCACAUUCUGUUGAACCCCAGCUGCUCAAAGGGUGGUCCUCGGACCGGCAGUGCAGCCUCAAUGGGGAGCUUGUUGGAAAUGAAGGCUCUCGGGCCGCAUCCAGUUCUCCUGAAUCAGAAUCUUUUAACAAGACCGCCGUAAAUGCCCAUGCCUGUCGAUGUUGGAGAAGCUGGGUCUUCUCCCCGUCCCCACACCUCUCUUGUCCAGAAUCUAGACUGUAAGCCCCGUGAGGGCCAGGCCUGCCCCGGCUGGUCUACCGUGGUACCCCCAGCACUCGCCCGGUGCCCAGGCCAGAGCAGGUGUCCCAUUAGACACAUCCACCACCGCAUCUCUGGGUAGUUGGUCCCGCCACCUACUUCGUGUCUGCAUCCCUUCUGGAGGGAACAGCAUCAUCUUUCAUGUCGCUGAAAGCCCACCCUCAGCACAAAAGUAUUUGCCUUAUUCAUUUGAAAAAGGUGAAAUCAUGCUUGAAAAAUACACCGAAGUCUGGGGUUUGCCACCCUGUGUCUCAGCCUGUGAAACCAGUGCCUGUGGAGAGUGGGGACAUUAUACUGUGUAAUUAUUUAAAUGAAAACAACAUAAAUGAAGAGAAGGGCUAUUUCUAUCAAGUGCUGCUAAUUAAAUGAGAACUAAUGGGCCCUGCUGAGAAAGGAUACAGCCGGAGCGAGCAUGAAAAACUCGCUGCCAGUGAAGACCAGCAGACAACGGGACAGUUUUCCUAGUGGGAUAAUUAUGACUCCUGGAGGAGACUGUCCAAGGCAGGAUGAGGCACCGGAGAUGCAGACGCAAAAGCAAAAGGAACCAAGCCGCGGGCUGACCGAGCUCAAACGCUAACGGGGAGGGUGUAACGUUAGCACACAAAUCUCUGGAAUCGUCUCAGUGGAGAUGAAGCAGGGCAGGGAACAGAGAAGGAUGGGGAGAUGCUGUCUCUUUGAGGGUGGGACCCAAGAGCCCAGGUCUGGAGACCGGAGGAAGAGCGUCCAGGCCAGAGGGAGCAGCGCCGCCAAGGCUCCCGAGGUGAGCUUCCGUUUCCCACCGGGAAAGAAGGCCCGUCCCGCCAGAAAGGAGCAAGUGGCCAUCCAAGGGCCGUGUGUACGCCUGUCCUGCCCAGCACGCCAGGUGUCUCUGCCCAGGGACACGCCAACGAGCAAGCUAAACUUAGGAUCCAAGAGCAGGAGAAAAUCUUGGCCAAUAAAGUGUUGUAGACAGAAACGCCACACUGAACAAUGCCCAUGGCCAAGCCUUUGACUGGAAAGGCUGUCCUGUCCAUGCAAGGGAAAGAAGCCGCGGUCCUUGGAGGCCGAAGCCCUGGAUCCCAACUGAGUCCGUGCAAGGAGCUCGGAGAAGAACAGAGGUGGCAUCAGCAGACAGGUCCACCCUCGGCCGUGUUGGGAGGUACAUUUUAAAGUUUUGCCAAAGCGCAAUCAGCAUCGAUGUCCAAGGUGUGGGCCCACCUUGAACCGUGUCAGGAGUCCCCCGAGGCGCUGAAGGACCCUGAACAGUAAAGAGUGACGAGGACACACGUAUCAACCGGUACUUUCCUUUUUGGGAACGGAAAACCCGAGUUAAUGUGAACAGCCUUGAAGAUGACGCCGUAUAUGAAUACAUGAAAUAAUAGGAAAGGAGGAAGGAGAAAAUGAAGGAGAAGUCAUAUUUGCUGCUUUUGACCACUGUGCUGUGCCAAGCAGAAAUAUUGAGAACUGGUAACUACUGUUGUUUGUUUUGUUUUGUUCUGUUGUCUUUUUCGGGCUGUG
Molecule: long non-coding RNA, 2727 nt
Organism: Phacochoerus africanus (Common warthog)
Lineage: Eukaryota; Metazoa; Chordata; Mammalia; Artiodactyla; Suidae
Exons: 3
Source: RefSeq, a predicted model, not a curated record